This 70-nucleotide transfer RNA is filed under the name Ictidomys tridecemlineatus (thirteen-lined ground squirrel). RNAcentral's name for it is "Spermophilus tridecemlineatus (thirteen-lined ground squirrel) tRNA". It matches the Rfam family "tRNA". From Rfam's summary of the family: Transfer RNA (tRNA) molecules are approximately 80 nucleotides in length. Their secondary structure includes four short double-helical elements and three loops (D, anti-codon, and T loops). Lineage: Eukaryota; Metazoa; Chordata; Mammalia; Rodentia; Sciuridae. The record is from Rfam by way of RNAcentral.
GGGGUUGUGGCUCAGUUGGUAGAGCACUCGCCUAGUGAGUGCGAGGUCCUGGGUUCAAUCCUCAGCGCCA